This 253-nucleotide ribosomal RNA is filed under the name uncultured bacterium. Its description in RNAcentral is "partial 16S ribosomal RNA". It matches the Rfam family "Bacterial small subunit ribosomal RNA", at positions 524 to 776 of the family's 1533-position model. The record is from RNAcentral.
UACAGAGGGGGCAAGCGUUGUUCGGAAUUACUGGGCGUAAAGGGCGCGUAGGCGGCCUGUUAAGUCGAACGUGAAAUCUCUGGGCUCAACCCAGAGACUGCUUCCGAAACUGCUGUGCUUGAGUGUGAGAGAGGCUCGUGGAAUUGCAGGUGUAGCGGUGAAAUGCGUAGAUAUCUGCAGGAACACCCGUGGCGAAAGCGGCGAGCUGGAUCACUACUGACGCUGAGGAACGAAAGCUAGGGGAGCAAACAGG